This 464-nucleotide ribosomal RNA is filed under the name uncultured bacterium. RNAcentral describes it as "bacterial SSU rRNA". It matches the Rfam family "Bacterial small subunit ribosomal RNA", at positions 28 to 487 of the family's 1533-position model. The record is from RNAcentral.
GAUGAACGCUAGCGGCAGGCUUAAUACAUGCAAGUCGUGGGGCAGCGCAGGUAGCAAUACUGGGCGGCGACCGGCAAACGGGUGCGGAACACGUACACAACCUUCCGAGAAGUGGGGAAUAGCCCAGAGAAAUUUGGAUUAAUACCCCGUAACAUAACGAUGUGGCAUCACAUUGUUAUUAUAGCUUCGGCGCUUCUUGAUGGGUGUGCGGCUGAUUAGAUAGUUGGCGGGGUAACGGCCCACCAAGUCCACGAUCAGUAGCUGAUGUGAGAGCAUGAUCAGCCACACGGGCACUGAGACACGGGCCCGACUCCUACGGGGAGCAGCAGUAAGGAAUAUUGGUCAAUGGACGCAAGUCUGAACCAGCCAUGCCGCGUGAAGGAUUAAGGUCCUCUGGAUUGUAAACUUCUUUUAUCUGGGACGAAAAAAGGCGAUUCUUCGUCACUUGACGGUACCAGAUGAAU